UGGGGAAUAUUGCACAAUGGGGGAAACCCUGAUGCAGCGACGCCGCGUGGACGAUGAAGUAUUUCGGUACGUAAAGUCCUGUCAGCAGGGAAGAAAACGACAGUACCUGACCAAGAAGCCCCGGCUAACUACGUGCC
RNAcentral lists this ribosomal RNA (137 nucleotides) under uncultured bacterium. Its description in RNAcentral is "partial 16S ribosomal RNA". It matches the Rfam family "Bacterial small subunit ribosomal RNA", at positions 355 to 509 of the family's 1533-position model. The record is from RNAcentral.